GUUAUAAAUUCAGCAGUAGAGCUUCAUUCUUGGGAGCGGGUAGGAGCAGAAACUCUGGAGCAGGAAGACCCCUUAUUUAAAAAUAACAGGCUUUGAUAGAUAGCCAGAGAAGUCACACAGGCAAUGACUGAGCUCCUCUCUAAUUAGGAUCUACGUAAGAAUUGUUCUGAAUGUGGAGAUGCCUUUUAUACUUUUGUUUCCAGUUCUCUAAUUGCACAUUAAUAUUAAUCACUGCUCUCUGAACAUUCAAGGGGAAAUAAGGAAAUUCACUAACUAAGGAGUGCUCCACUGUGCAUUUCUCAUGAGAGAUUAAAAAGAACGAAGAAAUUCUCGGAGGCUGACAAGGAAACUCUCUGCCCAGUCAUUCACAAGCGAAGGCACUGCAGAAAAAGAAAGCACACAUCCAGGAUCCAGGAGCAAAGGCAGAUUUUUGGCUAUAUGGAAGCAUCUUUCCUGAUCACAAUUU
This is a long non-coding RNA of Podarcis raffonei (Aeolian wall lizard), 466 nucleotides long. RefSeq lists it as uncharacterized. The record is from RefSeq and is a predicted model, not a curated record. The transcript has 3 exons. NCBI's taxonomy places the organism in Eukaryota, Metazoa, Chordata, Lepidosauria, Squamata, Lacertidae.